UUAAAGGAUAAAAGUAAUCCAC
This 22-nucleotide transfer RNA is filed under the name Sceloporus bicanthalis. Its description in RNAcentral is "partial tRNA-Leu". The record is from RNAcentral. Lineage: Eukaryota; Metazoa; Chordata; Lepidosauria; Squamata; Phrynosomatidae.